This 29-nucleotide small RNA is filed under the name Bombyx mori (domestic silkworm). RNAcentral describes it as "ovarian small RNA-21498". Lineage: Eukaryota; Metazoa; Arthropoda; Insecta; Lepidoptera; Bombycidae. The record is from RNAcentral.
UACUGCGCAAAUAUCGUCACUACGAAAUU